Molecule: ribosomal RNA, 433 nt
Filed under: uncultured bacterium
Lineage: Bacteria
Description: partial 16S ribosomal RNA
Rfam family: Bacterial small subunit ribosomal RNA
Source: RNAcentral
AACGAACGCUGGCGGCAUGCCUAACACAUGCAAGUCGAACGAGACCUUCGGGUCUAGUGGCGCACGGGUGCGUAACGCGUGGGAACCUGCCCUUAGGUUCGGAAUAACUCCCCGAAAGGGGUGCUAAUACCGGAUAAUGUCUUCGGACCAAAGAUUUAUCGCCUUUGGAUGGGCCCGCGUUGGAUUAGCUAGUUGGUAGGGUAAAAGCCUACCAAGGCGACGAUCCAUAGCUGGUCUGAGAGGAUGAUCAGCCACACUGGGACUGAGACACGGCCCAGACCCCUACGGGAGGCAGCAGUGGGGGAUAGUGGACACUGGGCGAAAGCCUGAUCCAGCAAUGCCGCGUGAGUGAUGAAGGGCUUAGGGUUGUAAAGCUCUUUUACCCGGGAUGAUAAUGACAGUACCGGGAGAAUAAGCUCCGGCUAACUCCGUG